This 101-nucleotide small RNA is filed under the name Arabidopsis thaliana (thale cress). Its description in RNAcentral is "ATSL141330". Lineage: Eukaryota; Viridiplantae; Streptophyta; Magnoliopsida; Brassicales; Brassicaceae. The record is from RNAcentral.
UAUCAUCCACAUGCGGUGUGAUGAUAUAUAUGUAUGUACUUGCAUGUCAUCCUUAGUGCUCUCUAUCUUCUGUCAACAACCAACAUCACUCUCAAACCUAU